CACACCGAACUCUGGGAACGAUGCUAAUUAAUACUACAUGCACACACUGUUAUUAGUUCCAGAGCAAUUUCUAGCCCUUACCUUAUGCAGUAAUUCAGCACACCCCUCCUCUGUCAAUUACAUUUUCUUCUUGUCAUUAUAAUCCAAAUGUGCUCUGACUGAGCAACACAGCGUCAAGUUACUUUUUAACGUGUUCCCGAAAACCUGAAGUAACCAUCCACAAGUUAAAAGUAGCAGGGGUGCCAGUUACACACCUAGCAUCCAGGAAUUGUUGAGUGGAGGGUGGAGAGACCAACUCUCAAACUCUCAAGGAAGAAGUUGUUGUCCUCAUCGGUCAGAUGCAAGCUAUCCCUACUUCUACCGAAGAUGUUCAUCAAGACCUCAGUUGUUCAUCAAGACCUCAGUUGUUCAUCAAGACUUCAGCUGUUUAUCAAGACUUCAGCUGUUCAUCAAGACCUCAGCUGUUCAUCAAGACCUCAGCUGUUCAUCAAGACUUCAGCUGUUAAUCAAGACUUCAGCUGUUCAUCAAGACUUCAGCUGUUCAUCAAUACCUUGAAUAGCAGAAUCAGUUGGGGAAGAACUGGGCUCGAACAAGAAAGGUUGCAUAACCUUCAAGAGCAAUUGUGGCCAUCCUUGAAUUGUAUGUACAAAGUUAACUAUAUCUGAUGAAUGUACACUUGAUUGUACAGUUUAUAUUUUGUAAUAACUCACUAUUGUUUCCAGGUAUUGUAGUACUAGGCCUUUCUUCAGUACACUUUAAAGUACAUUUUCAUGUAAAUAGUUAAUGAGUACAUGUUGAUUGUUUUCGUAUUUUCCAGGAGCCACAUUGGCUUAAACACAUUACUGGUUUUCACUACCCUCUGGA
Molecule: long non-coding RNA, 865 nt
Organism: Oncorhynchus nerka (sockeye salmon)
Lineage: Eukaryota; Metazoa; Chordata; Actinopteri; Salmoniformes; Salmonidae
Exons: 3
Source: RefSeq, a predicted model, not a curated record